Pelodiscus sinensis (Chinese soft-shelled turtle) is the source of this 5066-nucleotide non-coding RNA. NCBI's taxonomy places the organism in Eukaryota, Metazoa, Chordata, Testudines, Trionychidae. The record is from RefSeq and is a predicted model, not a curated record.
CUUAACUGAGAAAUUAUUUUUAAUCUUUGUUUGGUUAGACGAGCCACUAUGAAUUAUUCGAGUUUUUAUGUACUGAAGCGGGCAGGCUGGUUAGCAAUGCACGCCGGUGGAAUCUGGAAUUUACUUGUGUUUAUAUAGCAUCUAGGCUGGUUUGCUUUUUUGUUUGGUUGUUUGGUUGGUUUGGGUUUUAAUUUCUCUGUGUUUUGAGGUGAAGUGGUGUGUAUGUCGCACAUUUAAAACUAAUUUCAAAGUAGUAUAACAUAACUGCAUUAAAAGUCUGCCCUAGUGAAAUGAACAAUGUCUGGAAGGGAGAAGGUAGGGGGGAAAAACACUUUUAUAUAGGCAGACUUUGCCCCCUUGAGUUGAUAUAACCAUUGCUCCGAAUGUGUUUCCAAGACACAGUGAUGUCCUUUCAACCCUGCUUUCACAUCACUGGCUCAAACAUAUUUUUUUUCAUUAAAAAAACUUGAGUCUAAAUGAUCACUUUGCCCAUCUAUUGGGAUUAACAGAUUUCUCCAGAGAGCGUUUAAGAUGUUUUAGUAUUUGUUUGUAGCUUUAAAUGAAAACAAAAACUAUAAACUACUCUCCCUAAUCAGGUUACAGCUCCUCCCCUUGAAUCCUAAGUAUAUUGUAAUGUGCUGAAAGAAGCCUUUAUUUGCAUGACUAACAGUAUUCCAGCAUCACCUUUUGCAUUAAAGUUUUGCUUAGCCCUAGGCAGAUUAUUCAACCGUGAAUUAACAAGAGGUGAAUUCUAAACUUGUUUUUACUUGAAAAUACAAUUUCGAAACUUAUUAGGAUUAGAGAGAAACGUGCCUGGAAUUUCUUGACCAUUUCAGAACUAAUUUUGACUUCCGAUUUCACUUUGUGUUGGCUGCAUUUUUCCCCCACCAUUUGAAGGUCAGGGCUAAUUGUAUGGAAAGCUCCUGAAUUUUUAGGGAAACUAUAAGCGUUUCCAAAUGGAAGCCACUUCGGGGAGAAAAAAAUCUCAUACCCUAAUAUAACUCAAGAAAAUGAUUGAUUAUUUUGAAAAGAAGCUGAAUGCAAAUAUAUUUAUAGAUCUUUUAUAGUCCUCAGAAAUCCUAUGUGUAUUUACUCAGCUUCCUUUCAGCACAAACAGUUGUUAGGGAAGAUACAAUAACUGAUACAGACCCGCAUAAUCACUUGAAAUGCUACAGUGAAAGAAAACAAAAAGAGUGCGUAGAAUAUUUUUCAUUACCGUUUAUGCUCAUAGUUAUUAAGCUGUCCUUUUCUUCUGUCUUGUUACCUGGAAGGCUUCCAAUCAUGACGCGCUUACUUUGCUGCUCUUUCACAGAGUAAAGUGCGCUAGAAUCUGUUUAGAUGCGUUUAGGAAUUGCCCCCAAAUAGUAAAAAUAAAUAAAUAAAUAAAAAUUAAAAAAUGAAUGUACGCACCUAUAUUUAAUACCCACCUGUCCCCUCUCUCUAUCCAAAUCCCUGAAAGAACAGUCCCCAGCUAGAGAAACAUAAUAUAUAUAAUUUUCAAGUGGGUUCAGUAUAUACACUAACACGUGCAUUCAGUUUUUAUUAAAAUAAAAAGUGCAUUUAAAUCUUUGCAUAAUUUGAAAUGUGCAUAAUUAUAUAGAUACACUUUAAUAUUAUGCAUACACCAGACAAUAAUAGUGUUCUGAUAAUGUGACAUAUAACGUGAAUCUAAUAUGCUACAAAUUAGUUUAGCUAAGUCGAUUGAAUAUUUAGAAACAUAGAUUUAAAAAUACAACGUGACAAAAGCUAGCUCUGAUUUGAAGAGAAGUGAAAAAGAGAAUCGUAUUAUAUUUCACGGGGGAAAUCAAAUAUAUUACUAGCCUUUCGUCUUUCCCUUGCAGUUUCAAAGAGCAGGUACAAUACUAAUAUGGGACAACAUACUCCAAAGUUAUUUGUAUCUUCUCAUGCAUCUGCUUUUGAAUUGAGUCUUUUAUGUAACUGUUUUCUUCGACAACUCCAAUGUAUUAGCAAGGAUCAGAUGCCCUUGCAGAGAAAAUCACAGGACCAAGGUGUUACUUGAGAUCAUUGCAAGGGCAGUUGACGGCAUUAUUUAUUAAUUUUAAAAAGUACAUUAUUUGUAUUUAUUUUUAACGAGCCUCGCUGUGACUCUGCUAUUUGUAGCAGAAUUAAAUACCUGGAAAGAUACAGCGAUGUGAAAGUUUCUUCACUUUAGAAUCCAGGAACUGCAUUUUUAGGCAUCAGCUCCCAGUAACAUUGUACCUGAAUUUGGCAAAUUUCUCUGGGUCUUAAUCUUUAUUUUCAUGCUCAACAUAAUAACAGUCUAUUCUGUCAUUUGUUUUCCUGGCAUACCACCUGAGACUUUUUUACCUUGUGUAUUUUCAUGGCCGUUUAUAAAACAGACAUAACGUCUAUUCUCUAUCUUUUCUUCCCUGAUCCACCAGCCUUCCCCCUAAAACGUCUGGGCGUGAUUUUCAAUUUAUUUCCUUUUUUAUUCCUUUUUUAAUUCCAGAAAGUUAAUGUCCAUCUUUUAAUGUCAGAAACGGUGCUGCGUGGUAGUUUGGAAUGAAUCCACGAAACCCAGCUAGUUUGCAUAAUAGGGCUGCAGGCCCAAAUACACAGAUUUGUAAAGCAUUUGUUGUCCCCAGUAUUUCUCUCAGGCAGGGUGUAUGUGUGUGUGAGGAAGUAUGCAAUGUAUUUGUGUUUAUUUGUAUUAUAUUAUGAAAAUGCGACAGCUAAUGAUAUUCCGUUUUAAACCUGGCCCCAUAAAAGAUAAACGAUGUUGUUUUAGGAUUUGCAUUAAAAACCUGAAUGGUUGAUUGAGGUGUAAAUCUAUGACAAUCUGUAUUUAAGCCUUCUCGCCCACUAAAUCCAUCUGCCUUGGUAAGAUAGGCCCUAUCGGAAACUCCAAACUGGAGGUGGGGGUUGGGGGAGGACUUACCUCUUCACUUCCUCUGGCCGAUCAUUAUCGACAAGCCCUCUCCAGUAUUAGUUUAUUAUCCAUGACAAGCUUCGUUGCUGAUUAAGACGGAAUUACUCGGAAGCUGAAGUGCAUUUGAUUAAUAUUUAAGCGAAAGCCAUAGGAUAGAAGACAGAUGGCACAGAACUCACCGGUCCAGAACCCGCCGGUGCUAUAGAAACUUUAAAUUCGUGGCACAGGGGGGACAGUUUCUUCCCCAGGAGAGACACGCGGAGCUCCUGCUAUCCAGCACUUGUGAUUUUGAUGAGUCAAAAGGGGAAGGGAAGUGAGCUUUGUAAAUAUAUAUUCAUAGAUUGAAAUCCUCUGUCUCACGGCUUGCAAAGAUUAUACACACGGGCUCUCUUGCAGUGCACAAUCUUUUUAAAAGCAUUAAAGUAGACACAAUGUUGCCGAUUAGUUGUGACACCAAUUUUAGAUGUUGUGACAGUCACAUUCACGCGUUAUUUGUGUGCGUCUGUGUCCACUCACAUAGAGACCUCGAUGUGAGCGCCACCUUUCCUAUAGUACCAUGAAAUAAAGUGUGCAAAUUCACUGGUGCGCGACUAUAAUGUGUGUGUGUGUGUCUGUGUGUGUGUGUGUGUGUCUGUCUGUCUGUCUGUCUCGUCUUUGUCUGAAAAGCCAAUCAAGCCACCUAGAAACCCUCCGUAUUUUAGCUACCUAAUGUCUGCCCGGGGCCUGUAACGUUGCUCCGUGUCCUUUGUGUGCAUGCGAUCCCACCGUUGACCGGGGUCCUUUCCUGGCUACCAUACGUUUUUGAGAAUCUAUAGAUCCCUCUCCCUGAUCAGUUACAGCUGGCGUUUAGAAGAAGCUGAAUCUGCUUGCCCGUUGCCCUUAAUCUUUAGCAUACCCAGAUGAGGUUAUAGCCCCGGCCCAAAGUGAAAAGAAUUGUGAACGUUGGUGCCCUGGUACUGCUCUGAUUUCUCCGGUUAGCUGAGCACAACUUUCUAUUCGUGUGUAUUCAUGCAGCCUCUCAUUGAGCUCCCUCCGCAUUGCACUGGCCCGGACGCGCAGUGCAGGCAAAGGCCAGACCAACGCUGCGCCUGGGAGCGCGCGCGCACACACACCCGGGCUUCCCAGCUCCGGAGCCCUGUUUGUCAAAGGACACGCGGCCUGGAGUGGGAAGCCCCUCGGCCCCUAGAAAGAUCCAUUAGAAAGAAGUUUGCAAAUGGUCUUUUGCUGAGCAGUUCUGAAGAAUGGAGGAAACUACACUGGAAGUCAAGAUUUACUAUAACCAUAUCCCGAUUUCGAUUGACUUGAAUUUCAGAGAUCGCUGCUAGAGAGGAUGGAAGGAAUAACUUUCACAUGAGGAAACAGCAGUACUUUCCUGAGCUAUUUUCCACACACGUCUUCUUUCUCUACUUAUUACAUAUAAUUGUCGUCUUCGAAGAUCUCCUGAGCCAAAGCCUGCAGAAUGCUUCUGGACGUUACAAAAAAGGAAUGCAUUUUGUUGUUGUUGGUUUUUUUUAAACAGUGUUAAAACUAGUUCUCUCUGACUCCGAACGUAAAAAUAAAUACAAAAUGCUUAAAAAUCAAGCGUGUUGCUACGUAAAAUCCCCAUUGCCUUUAUUCUGUACAGGUACACUGGGAGUAGCUGGUGCAGUGUGCAUGUGCGUUGUGGGUGUAUGUAUUGUGUUGGGGAACUGUUAGGCCUCAAGAUAGUGUCGUGCCACCUUAUCUGAAAACAAAAGGUUUUCCAGUUGCAAGAAUGAAAUCUCACUAGCUGGUUUUCUCGCCCUCUUGGUGGUAUCCUAUUUAAAACCCCCUUCUUGUUUAGUACUAAAUAUUUGUAAAGCAGACAAUUUAUGAGUUAACCUAAUUAACACAUCCAUACUGUAUAUUCCUGAACCAAAGAGUACGGAUAAUUUCUAAUGUGAUGGUUGCAUGUGAUAGUCAUUUCUGUGUUACAGGAGAUUACAGCAAUACUGGAGCACUUCCAGAUUGUAGAUGGUUUUAGAUGUUGAAUUUUCAGAUGAGUAUUUACCAUCAUAACUAAUUUAAGACCAUUAUUAAAUAGAAAUUCUCAGCAGGGCUCUUUAAUGAUGGAACACGUUACUAAUUACAGAGUUUACGCUCUGUUUUGGCUAAGCAGUCUAGAGGGAUGGGAUUGUGCUUUGCAUGCAAAGCCAAU